UGUGCGUCAGAAACAGAAGCGCCGAAUCACUCCCACCCGCCCGAUCCCUAAACCAACUAUGCCAAAGCACUCCAAUUGAAACCGAUUCGCAGUCCGACCGACGACGCAGAAACAGCGAAGUCCUUGGAUUGAGAAAAACGGUCGGUCUCAGCCGGUUUAAAUCCAGGCACUUCUGCUGGUCCAGGCUGUACACCUGCCAAGCCGUGCUUAGCUGGCUUAAAGCCAGGCCUCCUCCUUUUAAUUCAUUUGCAAAUCGGGCUUCUCGUCAGGACGGUCCACGGGUUCACCCGGCUGGCCCUCGUGCCUGCAGAUGUAUGCGUGCGUAUGUUUGGAUUUCUCAAGGAUUCAGGGCCCGCUACCCGCCGCCGCCGCCGCCUUCUCCUCCUCCUCCUGCUCUCUCUCUCUCGCUCUCCCUCUCUCUCUUUCUCGCCCGACUACCAUGGAUGUCCCACCAUUCCUUGCAGUUGAAGGUUGCUCCUUGGCGCAGUGAAUGAAGAUCAUGCAGGGAUUGCUAAUGGCUUUGGGAAGCGGAGAGGCUCUCUCCCUCGGUGUGACCAUGCCGUGAUCGCGACUCAGGGCCAAAACACUUCUACCGCUCUUCAGCUCUUUACCCGACCGGGGGAAGGGGGCAAAAACAUCACCACCACCACCACCACUACUAUCAUCAUCUUCAAAAACAACAACAACAACAACAACAACAACAACACGAACACCACACGCUGACGCUUAAGCAAGGGGGCCGAAAGGAACGCGGCGCGGGUGUGUAUCGGAAACACCAUGAAGAUUAUUUCCUCGAUUCUAACUCAUCCACUCUUCCGAGGCACCCUUCGGCUCCUGCUUUGCUUACUGUGGAUUGGAUAUUCCCGAGGAACCACGCAUGUGUUAAGAUUCGGUAAGGCUUUCCCCCCUUCUCCCCCCCACCGCUGUCGUUUGCUGACAUCGUUAUGUGUGUCCCUCGGAUAUUGUCAGGGAAUCGGGGGGGGGGCGGAGGUUGGAGGGAGGAGGGAAAGGGG
Molecule: long non-coding RNA, 1013 nt
Filed under: Pogona vitticeps (central bearded dragon)
Lineage: Eukaryota; Metazoa; Chordata; Lepidosauria; Squamata; Agamidae
Description: lncRNA (ENSPVIG00000001609.1)
Source: RNAcentral